UACAGAGGUCCCAAGGGUUGUUCGGAUUCAGUGGGCGUAAAGGGUGCGUAGGUGGCGGGGUAAGUCGGAUGUGAAAUCUCGGGGCUCAACCUCGAAACUGCAUUCGAUACUGCCUUGCUAGAGUACUGGAGAGGAGAUCGGAAUUUACGGUGUAGCAGUGAAAUGCGUAGAUAUCGUAAGGAAGACCAGUGGCGAAGGCGGAUCUCUGGACAGUUACUGACCCUGAGGCACGAAGGCCAGGGGAGCAAACGGG
This 253-nucleotide ribosomal RNA is filed under the name uncultured bacterium. RNAcentral describes it as "partial 16S ribosomal RNA". It matches the Rfam family "Bacterial small subunit ribosomal RNA", at positions 524 to 776 of the family's 1533-position model. The record is from RNAcentral.